This 155-nucleotide small RNA is filed under the name Paenibacillus phocaeensis. RNAcentral's name for it is "ydaO/yuaA leader". It matches the Rfam family "c-di-AMP riboswitch aptamer (ydaO/yuaA leader)", at positions 11 to 130 of the family's 134-position model. From Rfam's summary of the family: This family represents a conserved RNA structure found upstream of the ydaO and yuaA genes in Bacillus subtilis and related genes in other bacteria. The ydaO/yuaA element is thought to act as a genetic "off" switch for the ydaO and yuaA genes in its native state. It is believed that the element may be triggered during osmotic shock leading to activation of ydaO, a predicted amino acid transporter gene, and members of the yuaA-yubG operon which code for KtrA and KtrB K+ transporters. Lineage: Bacteria; Bacillati; Bacillota; Bacilli; Caryophanales; Paenibacillaceae. The record is from RNAcentral.
UACACUGAAUCCUUCAUGACGAAGGAACGGGGGACCCAAGCGGGCGCAAAUAGCGCCUAUGGGGCGAAUCCUUUGCGGUGGCCUAUCCUGCCGCGAGGGUAGGGUGACUCUCGCGCCCGAGCCCGUCAGCUAACCUCGUAAGUGGGUUCGAGAGA